Molecule: non-coding RNA, 29 nt
Filed under: Rattus norvegicus (Norway rat)
Lineage: Eukaryota; Metazoa; Chordata; Mammalia; Rodentia; Muridae
Source: RNAcentral
UACAAGAUACCUUGAUAGGAUUCAGUUGU